Molecule: non-coding RNA, 53 nt
Organism: Salmo salar (Atlantic salmon)
Lineage: Eukaryota; Metazoa; Chordata; Actinopteri; Salmoniformes; Salmonidae
Source: Rfam
UGCAUUCACUACUGAAGUCGCUCUGGAUAAGAGUGUCUGCUAAAUGACUAAAA